This 269-nucleotide ribosomal RNA is filed under the name Salmonella enterica subsp. enterica serovar Blockley. RNAcentral describes it as "partial 16S ribosomal RNA". It matches the Rfam family "Bacterial small subunit ribosomal RNA", at positions 59 to 334 of the family's 1533-position model. The record is from RNAcentral. Lineage: Bacteria; Pseudomonadati; Pseudomonadota; Gammaproteobacteria; Enterobacterales; Enterobacteriaceae.
AAGUCGAACGAUGAUUAUCUAGCUUGCUAGAGAUGAUUAGUGGCGGACGGGUGAGUAACAUUUAGGAAUCUGCCUAGUAGUGGGGGAUAGCUCGGGGAAACUCGAAUUAAUACCGCAUACGACCUACGGGUGAAAGGGGGCGCAAGCUCUUGCUAUUAGAUGAGCCUAAAUCAGAUUAGCUAGUUGGUGGGGUAAAGGCCCACCAAGGCGACGAUCUGUAACUGGUCUGAGAGGAUGAUCAGUCACACCGGAACUGAGACACGGUCCGG